This 253-nucleotide ribosomal RNA is filed under the name uncultured Eubacteriales bacterium. Its description in RNAcentral is "uncultured Clostridiales bacterium partial 16S ribosomal RNA". It matches the Rfam family "Bacterial small subunit ribosomal RNA", at positions 524 to 776 of the family's 1533-position model. The record is from RNAcentral. Lineage: Bacteria; Bacillati; Bacillota; Clostridia; Eubacteriales.
UACGUAGGGGGCAAGCGUUAUCCGGAUUUACUGGGUGUAAAGGGAGCGCAGGCGGUAUGGCAAGUCAGAUGUGAAAACCCAGGGCCCAACCCUGGGACUGCAUUUGAAACUGCCAUACUGGAGUGCCGGAGAGGUAAGUGGAAUUCCUAGUGUAGCGGUGAAAUGCGUAGAGAUCGGGAGGAACACCAGUGGCGAAGGCGGCCUGCUGGGCUUUAACUGACGCUCAGGCACGAAAGCAUGGGUAGCAAACAGG